Non-coding RNA from Podarcis lilfordi (Lilford's wall lizard), 73 nucleotides. Lineage: Eukaryota; Metazoa; Chordata; Lepidosauria; Squamata; Lacertidae. The record is from the annotation of a GenBank genome assembly.
UAGGAAUAGCUCAAUUGGUAGAAGAUGAGAUUCUUAAUCUCAAGGCCAUGGGUUGAACCCCAGUGGGGCAAAA